This 466-nucleotide ribosomal RNA is filed under the name uncultured bacterium. RNAcentral describes it as "bacterial SSU rRNA". It matches the Rfam family "Bacterial small subunit ribosomal RNA", at positions 28 to 490 of the family's 1533-position model. The record is from RNAcentral.
GAUGAACGCUAGCGGCAGGCUUAACACAUGCAAGUCGAGGGGCAGCAGGGACUUCGGUCCGCUGGCGACCGGCAAACGGGUGCGGAACACGUACGCAACAUACCUCUAUCUGGGGCAUAGCCUUCUGAAAAGGAGAUUAACACCCCAUAGUAUUUUUCAGUGGCAUCACUGGUUAAUUAAAAAUUCAUUGGAUAGAGAUUGGCGUGCGUCCUAUUAGCUAGUUGGCGGGGUAAAGGCCCACCAAGGCGACGAUAGGUAGCCGAUGUGAGAGCAUGAUCAGCCACACGGGCACUGAGACACGGGCCCGACUCCUACGGGAGGCAGCAGUGAGGAAUAUUGGUCAAUGGACGCAAGUCUGAACCAGCCAUGCCGCGUGAAGGAUGAAGGCGUUCUGCGUUGUAAACUUCUUUUUAUUGGGGAANAAACCUCUUUAUUCUUAGAGAGCCGACGGUACCCAAGGAAUAAG